CGAGAGAGAGAGAGAGAGAGAGAGAGAGAGAGAGAGAGAGAGAGAGAGAGAGAGAGAGAGAGAGAGAGAGAGAGAGAGAGAGAGAGAGAGAAGCUCUUCGCCAUGCAGGACACAAGAGUACAGGCAGGGGCGACAUGCGGACGGUCACCGGGGGCAGGGCAACGCCAGAUACGCGGCCCCUGGGGAAGGUGGGGAGACAUUUCCUGGGAGCCGCCCUACACCCGUGCCUCGCCUUGCCCCAGGUCCACCACUCCUUCCCCUCACCCCUCGUCACCACACCAGGCAAGCCAGUAAGCCAGGAAGCCUACACGUAGCUGUCCCUGUAUUGAACGCGCUUACUUGUAUCAUACCCCCUUUUAAUUCCUUCCCGUAAGUUGUGUUUAUUCCAUAAAGCUCCUUAUUGACUCUGCACUUACGAUACUCUGAUAAAUUUAUUACACUCAUCUGGCACACUAUUUGAGACUUGAUUUCUUUCUUUAUCCUUUGUACUAUCUGUCUUUCUUCUUAUUCUGAAUUAUUCACUAAAUACAUCACUUUCUUCCUCCUCCUACAUCACCUGCACUCUUGUUACCUGCUACAGUUCUAUCACAAUAUAAUCCUCUUUCUCUUACUCUGUCUCACUCCACCAUCGCCAUGAGCACACCACAUCUCUCACUAUGUAUGAUUCUCUUCCCCUCUCUCCCUCGCCCUUUCUCCAGUACUAUUCAAAACGAGUUAAAUAUAUUCCUGACAUGUAUGUAUAUCCACCCUCUGUGAACCCCAAUAUCUUAAUUGCUGUAGAUAGAAAUAAAUCGACAGAAUACAUACUGGACAGAAAUGCUCCUGUACUUUGACACUGCGAUGCUGGAGUGAAUGGAGUCUUGGCGUAUAUAAAACAACCAACUAAUAGAAAAAAAUAUAUAUGUCACAUGAAUUUUUACUUUUUUUCACCUUUAUCCUUUUUACUAUUCCUGCCUUGCCACCAUCACCACUUCCCCAUCCCCUUUUCUUCCCUCCCUUCUUCACUUCCAUUCCCCAUCACCACCACCAUCACCACUCACCAACGGAAGCGUGUGAUGAGUGUGCUAUUGUUACAUGUAGCUUUGAAUGUCCACUACCACCACCAACACCACAUCACCGCCAAAACUACUGUCACAGGUAUACAUAAAUGAUUUAGUUUACUCGCUCACUGUACAAUGCGUUUUCAAUAGAAUAUGUAUAAAC
Molecule: long non-coding RNA, 1203 nt
Organism: Portunus trituberculatus (swimming crab)
Lineage: Eukaryota; Metazoa; Arthropoda; Malacostraca; Decapoda; Portunidae
Exons: 2
Source: RefSeq, a predicted model, not a curated record